Molecule: non-coding RNA, 869 nt
Organism: Physcomitrium patens
Lineage: Eukaryota; Viridiplantae; Streptophyta; Bryopsida; Funariales; Funariaceae
Source: RefSeq, a predicted model, not a curated record
CCAAAAGCAGGAGGGCGACUACGACCCAUCCUCACCUGGCUCCUGUCUGGCUUAGUACCGCGCGCGCGGGGCCCAGCGCCUCUCGCAUCCUCUCUUUCACUCUAUGCUCUGUGCAACAUGACGGAUUGCCUCCAUCUGGUUCCGUGGGCGAAAUUCGUCGACGCUGCUAGGGGUGGAAUACAAAGUCAAGAGCUGGGUUAGAUAACGCCAGGAAUCGUGGCAUCUCCCCCCGUAGAUUGCCACUUCGGAAUCCUGGAUAUCGGAGAAUUAUUACACAGUUUAGAACGCGGAUCGAAACGAUCAAAAGACGUGGGGAUGGUUCCAGGUUGCGGGUGCGACGAGCUCCAAGGGGAAGGGUGGUGCUGUGUGGCGCUGGGACUGGCAAGGGUAUUUUGUUUCCGGGGUGCUAGCUCUGAUCACUUGUGGGGAGCGCCGAGAGUUAAUCUCCAGGCUGGUGAGAGGUUGGGCGCGUAGCGUAGCAGUCGAAGUGUCAAACCCCGCCAUCCAUGUCGGUGUGGGGUUGCUGCUGCUGCACCGUCGUCGACUGCGCAGGUAUUAGCUUUGUAAAUAUGAUCUCAAAGAUCAUGGAUCCAUGUUGGUUAUUUGACUAUGUAAAUAUAUGAUUGAUUUUUGUACUUUGGAAUUGUUAUAUAAUAUAGAAGAUAAAUAGCAUGAUAAGAAGUUUGACGAGAAUGUAGUAGAACAAGAUUAUGAAGACUAUUUAGUAAGUACUUUGAAAAAUUCAAUUGUUGUAAAUUAUGAUUGAAGUCCUAACUCAUUGUAAAUAACUUAUAACAUUGCAAAUUAGAUUUUGGUUGUAUUUAUUAGAAUUUGUAGUAAUAAAAAAUAAAGACAUAAAGUAAAGCUAA